CUAUCUUGAAGUUCAUCCUCUGAUCAGGGAUGCCCAGAGCUAAAAGAUAGUAGUAACAAUUUAAUAGAAAGUCAACCCACUGGGACGGUUGGCCAUUUAAGAAGUGAGGAUUCAUUUUUUAUGGCCAAUACAAGUGAAGAUAGGAAGUUCCGUGUGGAUUCUCA
Lachnospiraceae bacterium TWA4 is the source of this 164-nucleotide non-coding RNA. The record is from Rfam. NCBI's taxonomy places the organism in Bacteria, Bacillati, Bacillota, Clostridia, Lachnospirales, Lachnospiraceae.